UAGGGAAUCUUCCACAAUGGACGCAAGUCUGAUGGAGCAACGCCGCGUGAGUGAAGAAGGGUUUCGGCUCGUAAAGCUCUGUUGGUAGUGAAGAAAGAUAGAGGUAGUAACUGGCCUUUAUUUGACGGUAAUUACUUAGAAAGUCACGGCUAACUACGUGCCAGCAGCCGCGGUAAUACGUAGGUGGCAAGCGUUGUCCGGAUUUAUUGGGCGUAAAGCGAGUGCAGGCGGUUCAAUAAGUCUGAUGUGAAAGCCUUCGGCUCAACCGGAGAAUUGCAUCAGAAACUGUUGAACUUGAGUGCAGAAGAGGAGAGUGGAACUCCAUGUGUAGCGGUGGAAUGCGUAGAUAUAUGGAAGAACACCAGUGGCGAAGGCGGCUCUCUGGUCUGCAACUGACGCUGAGGCUCGAAAGCAUGGGUAGCGAACAGG
Molecule: ribosomal RNA, 429 nt
Filed under: uncultured Lactobacillus sp.
Lineage: Bacteria; Bacillati; Bacillota; Bacilli; Lactobacillales; Lactobacillaceae
Also listed under: 1 other name
Description: bacterial SSU rRNA
Rfam family: Bacterial small subunit ribosomal RNA
Source: RNAcentral